GUGACCUCAAAUCAGGUAGGACUACCCGCUGAACUUAAGCAUAUCAAUAAGCGGAGGAAAAGAAACUAACAAGGAUUCCCCUAGUAACUGCGAGUGAAGCGGGAAAAGCUCAAAUUUAAAAUCUGGCAGCCUUUGGUUGUCCGAGUUGUAAUCUAGAGAAGUGUUAUCCGCGCUGGACCGUGUACAAGUCUCCUGGAAUGGAGCGUCAUAGAGGGUGAGAAUCCCGUCUUUGACACGGACUGCCAGGGCUUUGUGAUGCGCUCUCAAAGAGUCGAGUUGUUUGGGAAUGCAGCUCAAAAUGGGUGGUAAAUUCCAUCUAAAGCUAAAUAUUGGCGAGAGACCGAUAGCGAACAAGUACCGUGAGGGAAAGAUGAAAAGAACUUUGGAAAGAGAGUUAAACAGUACGUGAAAUUGCUGAAAGGGAAACGCUUGAAGUCAGUCGCGUUGUCCAGGGAUCAACCUUGCUUUUGCUUGGUGCACUUUCUGGUUGACGGGUCAGCAUCAAUUUUGACUAUUGGAAAAAGAUUAGGGGAAUGUGGCAUCUUUGGAUGUGUUAUAGCCCUUGGUUGCAUACAAUGGUUGGGAUUGAGGAACUCAGCACGCCGCAAGGCCGGGUUUAACCACGUACGUGCUAGAUGCGC
This 641-nucleotide ribosomal RNA is filed under the name Cortinarius cf. caninus SMI167. RNAcentral's name for it is "eukaryotic LSU rRNA". It matches the Rfam family "Eukaryotic large subunit ribosomal RNA", at positions 1 to 628 of the family's 3401-position model. Lineage: Eukaryota; Fungi; Basidiomycota; Agaricomycetes; Agaricales; Cortinariaceae. The record is from RNAcentral.